Long non-coding RNA from Carassius auratus (goldfish), 1642 nucleotides. RefSeq lists it as uncharacterized. The record is from RefSeq and is a predicted model, not a curated record. The transcript is spliced from 6 exons. Lineage: Eukaryota; Metazoa; Chordata; Actinopteri; Cypriniformes; Cyprinidae.
CAGAACACAGAUGAAGGGUGUUUCAUGAAGGCGCAGGUAUAAUACUGGGCUUCACUAAGGUUUUCUAAGGGUUUUUGUCAUUUCAAUAUUGAGAGUGCUAAGAAGCAUGGAAAAGUUUGGGGUGCUCAGGAUCUAUGAUGGAAGGAUCCCAAUAUAAUAUUAAUGGUUACUGACCUGGAAAUGAUCAAAGCAAUUAUGGUUAACAGAAUUAACAGAAGGGAAACAAAUGCAGACCUUGCUGGCCCCUUUGCCGAUGGAAUAACUGUAAAGCUGAGAGAUGGAAGAGAAUACACAGUUUACACUCUACAUAUUUCACAAGUGGUCGACUGUUGGAGGUACAGUAAAAGGUUCAACCCAGAAUGUAAGUCAGAGAUGAACCAGUACGCUUUCCUGCCUUUUGGACUUUGGAAAUUGCAUUGGAAAGAGAUUCGCCCAAAUGAUCACUUCUUGUUCUUGAUGAAACUUCUUGUUGUGAAGCUGCUUCAGAUUUUCACUGUGGAAACAUGUAAAGAGACACAGAAGAGGAAUGCCGCUUUUCAGCCAAAAGUUCCCAUCACACUGAAGUUUAUGCCAAGAUCUCACAAGGAAAAACAAUAAUGCAAUGAAAAAGUUACGUUAUAUAAUUCUGAAUAAUACGAAAAUGUUUAAUCAUGAAGACUGAAACAUAUUAGAAUAUUUACUCAAUUAUAAUUCUCUUUUUAAUAUUUCAUUAUUCACAAUUAUUCAUUAUAUGUUUAUCUUUUACAUUUAAUAGAAGUGAGCCAUUAUGUGAUUUAUGGUGCUCUUCCUGCUUCAUUCAAUUUGUGUCAUUUGUGCAAUGCUUAUUGAAGUGUAAUAAAUAUGUUGCAUGCACAUUUAAUUACAUUUAUUAUAUUUAUUAUACUUACAGUAUGUUUUAUAAAACAAAAACAAAUAAUGUAUAUUAUACAGUCAGUGCAGUGUAUAUUCAUGCAGCAGUAAAUCAGACGUGAAGUUUAGGUUUUUUUUCUAUUUAGAAAGAUCAAUUAUAUCAUCAGAAUUAUUUUACCACAUAAAAUGUGCCCCUGUGAGAAAUACUUUCUUAUGAAAAGCGGUAAUUUUGUCAUUCAUUGUUCCCAAAAAGCCCAUAAAACUGAAUCCAGUGUCCUGCAUUAUGGAUGUCAAUGAAGACUAAACAGGAAGAUAUUGUUUGUUUUCACACCACUUGCAGCCUUAAUUUGCGCUGCCAUGCACUGGAAAAACCACCACUAAAAAACAGAUAUUGAGAAAGAAACUGCUUUUUUUAAUUGACAGUUAUCAAAUCAUAUUAUAUGUAUACAAUAUUCUUUUCAAUCUUGGUACUUUUAACAUUUACAUUAACACUAUUAUUUUUUAAAUGAAAUAAGCAUAAGAUUCACCUCUAGGGGUAUUGUUUGUAUACCAAAUUAAUCAAAUAAAUGAAUAUAGGCUAUUUAAUUCUGAGUAGUUAUAUGAGUAAGUAAAUGUGCAGUUUGGCACUGUGUGUAAUAUCUGCUGGAGCCUCAGUAAAGUUGACCUCAGCAUUGAAUGUGAUGUAACCAGCUGUAAUUCCAUCCUACAUUAAGGCCCCUUUCCUCACUUGGUCUUUAAAAAUAUUCCUGUCUUUCUUUGACAUCUGAGAAUUAAACUAAAAUGCCUUUUUCGA